Molecule: ribosomal RNA, 253 nt
Filed under: uncultured bacterium
Lineage: Bacteria
Description: partial 16S ribosomal RNA
Rfam family: Bacterial small subunit ribosomal RNA
Source: RNAcentral
UACGGGGGGGGCAAGCGUUGUUCGGAAUUACUGGGCGUAAAGGGCUCGUAGGCGGCCAACUAAGUCAGACGUGAAAUCCCCAGGCUCAACCUGGGAACUGCGUCUGAUACUGGAUGGCUUGAAUCCGGGAGAGGGAUGCAGAAUUCCAGGUGUAGCGGUGAAAUGCGCAGAUAUCAGGAGGAACACCGAUGGCGAAGGCAGGUCUCUGGGCCAUUACUGACACUGAGAAGCGAAAGCAUGGGGAGCGAACAGG